AUCAUUUAGGCCGAACGGUUGCAUUUUCUCUUUUUACCAUGGGGAGAUAUCCUUUUAACACUUCUGUUUUUGUACGAAUGUUGCUAGGGGCUCAAUUUCUUUAAACAAGGUGUAGGGCCGAUUGCUUUUCCUUUACAAGUGAUAAUUCCUUUAUUGGUAAGUGUUUAAGUUCUAGUUGUGUUUGUGUGGGAUUAUAUAUUCUUAUGAAUCGAUUAACUAUUUUUGUGAAGGGUAAAGUAUUGGGGAGAAUACGUGGUUUGGAACAAUGAGGGGUUGCGAUUGUUGAUUGGUAAGUAGC
RNAcentral lists this long non-coding RNA (298 nucleotides) under Gossypium barbadense (sea-island cotton). RNAcentral describes it as "long non-coding RNA (GBAR_LNC000387)". The record is from RNAcentral. Lineage: Eukaryota; Viridiplantae; Streptophyta; Magnoliopsida; Malvales; Malvaceae.